GAUCAUGGCUCAGGAUGAACGCUAGCUACAGGCUUAACACAUGCAAGUCGAGGGGGCAGCAUGGUCUUAGCUUGCUAAGGCCGAUGGCGACCGGCGCACGGGUGAGUAACGCGUAUCCAACCUGCCUUACACUCUUGGACAGCCUUCUGAAAGGGUAGAUUAAUACAAGAUGUUAUCAUGAGUAAGCAUUUUCGCAUGAUUAAAGGUUUACCGGUGUAAGAUGGGGAUGCG
RNAcentral lists this ribosomal RNA (231 nucleotides) under uncultured bacterium. RNAcentral describes it as "partial 16S ribosomal RNA". It matches the Rfam family "Bacterial small subunit ribosomal RNA", at positions 15 to 235 of the family's 1533-position model. The record is from RNAcentral.